Molecule: long non-coding RNA, 743 nt
Filed under: Nicotiana benthamiana
Lineage: Eukaryota; Viridiplantae; Streptophyta; Magnoliopsida; Solanales; Solanaceae
Description: long non-coding RNA (NBEN_LNC037934)
Source: RNAcentral
UCAAGAAAGCCUUCUUUCAGUAACAAAGUUCUCCUUUCAAAAUCUCUCUUCUCUUUCAAGCUUCCUCUUCUUUAGUUGAAUCCUCCAAUCUUAGUUAACGAUCUUGAGCUAACAGAAGAUCUCCGAAUAAUACCCUUCUUAUGCUAUAUUCUUUAGAGAAUAAAUAUAUAUGCACGUAUACGAAUAGGUCUUGUUUACACCAAAUUAAAAAAUACAUGUGGGUCUUUACAAUUACAAUUAUCACUAAGUCAUAGUUAAAUAAUAUAUAUUUUUGUAUUACUUGGUGUAAAUAAGAAAAAUACAAGCCUGUAUGCUUUUCUCUUGGCAUAUUUUGAAGCUUUAAAAAAAUGACAAGCGCGCGUACAUGUCGGUUCACUGCCCAUAGACCGUUGAGGGUGGCUUUGAGUCAGACCCUGUCUCCCUUUCUCAGCUUUAUAAUUUAUCUUUUAAUAUUUAUGCUUUUUUUCUUUUGUUUUUGUAUGUUCACAUUUGUGAUUAGUUUCAAGCUGAAGAAAACAGUAGAUUUUUUCUUUUAUUUCUUUUGUUUUUCUUCGUUGGUUUAUAAGAUGUCAACGGAUGAGUCAAAAUGAAUUGAAUCGGUAUAUAAGUCAAAGCAAAAUCAAAAUUUUAUUUGCUUAUUCCUUUUAAAUAAUUUGUAAAAUUACCAAACUAAAAUGGUUUUGUUAUGAAAUAAUAUAAAAGACAAGAACAAUAACUCAAGAACAAGAACAAAUAGAGAGAAG